Molecule: long non-coding RNA, 274 nt
Organism: Vidua chalybeata
Lineage: Eukaryota; Metazoa; Chordata; Aves; Passeriformes; Viduidae
Exons: 3
Source: RefSeq, a predicted model, not a curated record
UUUAAGUUCAAAUACAGCAGAGCCAUUCUCAGCUGGGUUUGAUUCCUUUCACCAGAAGAGAUUCUGAUUCUCAAAUUGAGGAGAGAGAAUUCAGGUUAUAUGCUCAAAGAAGGCAUCUUCUGGACAGCUUGCAGUCCCUUCCUGGUUGUGCACCAAGAAAUCCAGACUACUCUAAUGGGAAAGAGCAGCAUUAGGGUCAGUAUCUGUAGAAAACUUUACAGGAAACACAUUCAAUACACUGAACUUUCACAGGAAAAAUUAUAUCAAGGGGCAG